AAAUAUUUGUUAAAAAAAAAAGAAACGGAAAUACCGUAACGUUUCCGAUUUUGGUUCUGUUGUUAGGGAUUUUAGUUGUGACGUUAUUUAAAUUAUGACGUCAUAUGCAAUGUAAACAAAGAAACGCUAUCAUCAGGUAACGUUUUUUCAUAUCAAGGAAUUAUUAAAAAUGAAAUUGGUAUUGCGCGUUCCUUCCUAUUUUAUACUAGACUGAUAAAUAUAUAUUUUACUCAAAGUUUCAUACAAACGAGACCGGAAAAAGGAAGUACAUUGUACAUUUCUGCGCAGGUCCGGGAUUUCAAAACACGACAAAAAAAAA
RNAcentral lists this long non-coding RNA (319 nucleotides) under Mytilus galloprovincialis (Mediterranean mussel). The record is from RNAcentral. Lineage: Eukaryota; Metazoa; Mollusca; Bivalvia; Mytilida; Mytilidae.